CUUGCUUCUCUUGAGAAGCGGCGGACGGGUGAGUAAUGCCUAGGAAUCUGCCUGGUAGUGGGGGAUAACGUCCGGAAACGGACGCUAAUACCGCAUACGUCCUACGGGAGAAAGCAGGGGACCUUCGGGCCUUGCGCUAUCAGAUGAGCCUAGGUCGGAUUAGCUAGUUGGUGGGGUAAUGGCUCACCAAGGCGACGAUCCGUAACUGGUCUGAGAGGAUGAUCAGUCACACUGGAACUGAGACACGGUCCAGACUCCUACGGGAGGCAGCAGUGGGGAAUAUUGGACAAUGGGCGAAAGCCUGAUCCAGCCAUGCCGCGUGUGUGAAGAAGGUCUUCGGAUUGUAAAGCACUUUAAGUUGGGAGGAAGGGCAGUAAAUUAAUACUUUGCUGUUUUGACGUUACCGACAGAAUAAGCACCGGCUAACUCUGUGCCAGCAGCCGCGGUAAUACAGAGGGUGCAAGCGUUAAUCGGAAUUACUGGGCGUAAAGCGCGCGUAGGUGGUUCGUUAAGUUGGAUGUGAAAUCCCCGGGCUCAACCUGGGAACUGCAUUCAAAACUGACGAGCUAGAGUAUGGUAGAGGGUG
RNAcentral lists this ribosomal RNA (586 nucleotides) under uncultured bacterium. Its description in RNAcentral is "bacterial SSU rRNA". It matches the Rfam family "Bacterial small subunit ribosomal RNA", at positions 79 to 660 of the family's 1533-position model. The record is from RNAcentral.